Molecule: ribosomal RNA, 406 nt
Filed under: uncultured bacterium
Lineage: Bacteria
Description: bacterial SSU rRNA
Rfam family: Bacterial small subunit ribosomal RNA
Source: RNAcentral
AGAGCGGCCGAUGUCUGAUUAGCUAGUUGGUAAGGUAAUGGCUUACCAAGGCGACGAUCAGUAGUUGGUCUGAGAGGACGACCAGCCACACUGGGACUGAGACACGGCCCAGACUCCUACGGGAGGCAGCAGUGGGGAAUUUUGGACAAUGGGCGCAAGCCUGAUCCAGCAAUGCCGCGUGAGUGAAGAAGGCCUUCGGGUUGUAAAGCUCUUUCAGUCGAGAAGAAAAGAUUGUGACUAAUAAUCAUAAUUGAUGACGGUAUCGACAGAAGAAGCACCGGCUAACUACGUGCCAGCAGCCGCGGUAAUACGUAGGGUGCGAGCGUUAAUCGGAAUUACUGGGCGUAAAGGGUGCGCAGGCGGUUCUGUAAGUCAGAUGUGAAAUCCCCGGGCUUAACCUGGGAAU